RNAcentral lists this unclassified non-coding RNA (4796 nucleotides) under Acanthaster planci (crown-of-thorns starfish). RNAcentral describes it as "nostrin-like, transcript variant X3". The record is from RNAcentral. Lineage: Eukaryota; Metazoa; Echinodermata; Asteroidea; Valvatida; Acanthasteridae.
AAAAAAAUAAUAAAUUUAACCUUUUUAAAAAAAUUCAGCUUAUUUUCAGAAAAAAAAACUCACCCCGAUAAUGUUGAUUUUGAUAUAGGAGGUUUAGCCAAUGGCGUUACAGGUCUCAAUGCAGUAUUUAACUGCACUUCAAUUUGUGCACUGUUAUCAAAUGAUGGGCAGAAUAUUAACAAGAUUAAACCCUAUCAAUCUGUACUGGCUUGCGUGACCUUUGGAAUAGGGCUGGUACAUAUUUAGCCGUGCACUACGGUGCUCAUAAUAAACAGUGCAUGAUUCAGAGUUUGCAAAUGGAAAAACAGCACGGGCUUGUGAUCGCGAAUCACUUGUGGUGAAAAAAGGAAGAUCCAGUUGGGUUUGGUGGUCACAUGCUGUUCAAGUUGACAGUUUAGUCAGACAAUUAGCCUCAUUGUGGGGCUGGCUUCAGAAGGAAGUGCAUUGUUGCCUGUUUUUGGUGUGAAAAACAAAUCAACAUAUUACAAAGUACACAGAUUUCCUCAUCUGAUCGGGAGUUUCCAAAACCAACAAGCUGCACCGAGUCAGUAGAUUUCCUGAAUAUUUGCAGUUGAAUGCACCGGUGAUAUAAAUAGAGGAAGUACUUGCAACUGAUUGUUCAAGGAAUAUCACCAAUAUGGACCACUUUGCAAAGUCAUUCAUUGAUGAGACUGGGUAUGCAGAGCUGAAGAAGCACAUGAGACAAGCCACGGACUUCAGUUCCUCAGUGAUGAGCAUCUUCCAAGAAAGAGCUGAAAUAGAGUCUACCUAUGCCAAAAGUAUUGCCAAGCUGAACGCCAAGGCCCUGAAAUGCAACAAAGAUGCCACAGGAUCAUUAAUGGCUGCAUGGAAUAUUUUUUGUGGACAUCUCAACAACGAAGCAGAACAUCACAAAGUAUCAGCUGAGUGUCUUCAUGAGGACAUCUACAAAAGACUCAAGACCUACUUUGAUAUGCACAUGAAAGCUCGAAAAACGGCAGAGGCGAAUGUCGACAAGGCGUGCAAGGCAUGGCAUGACAAGCGGGCUGAAAUGGUGAAGGCUAAGAAGGUGACCCACUCCAAGACCAAGGAGAGCGAAGGGAUGCAAGCUAUCUUGGAGGAUCCCACCGCCAAAGGGAAGGUGCUUUCAGACAAGGAGCUGGGAAAGCUACAAUCCAAGAGCAGAAAAGCUGACGAGGCGGCAUCCAAGGCGGACAUGGACUACCUGAACCUCACCAAGGCCACUGAGAGAGCGAGGCACGAGUUUGAGAAGGUCCUCCGCCAGGCGGUGACCACGCUGGAGAAGCUGGAGAAGGAGAGGAUCGGGCAGCAGAAGGAGGUGAUGUUGUCCUACUCGGCUUGCCUGUCCAAGAUGUUGGAGCCACUGCAAAAGGAUAUCAGCGAGAUGACGCACGCAGUGACCUGCAUUAAUCCUGAUACUGAUGUCAUGGCCAUAGCUCAGCAUAAAAGUCGCCAUGGAGAACACGUCUCCCAAGUCCUGUACGACCCUUACGAGGAGGAUUUGUCCAACAGCAUGACCCUGAACAGGCGACGUCAGUCUCUCCACAGCAAGCUGCAAGCUCUGGACAGCGAGAUCCAGAAGGAGACGAAGGUCAAAGCGGGCAUAGCUCGUCUGUCGGGCGCUUACGCCGACAACCCAAGCUAUGCAGACGCCAACGCCAAGGAAGAUGUUGUGCAGCAGAUGGGCCAUUCGGAGGAGAUGAUCAAUAUGCUUCGCGCCAGCAAGUUCAAGAUCAUGGCAGCCAUCGCCCUGAUGGACAAAAAGCCCAAGCCCAGCGAUGACAUCAGCUCCUUCAUCAAGACGGAGAAAGACAAGCACCAAGGAGUGAAUGUUAGUGUCUUGAAGAUGCCUCGGCCAACUGCUCCGAUGUCAUCAGUGAGUGAGGUGGAUGGGCGGGGAAUGGCCGAUGGUGCUCACAAUUUACCGUUGAGCCCGUCUGAUAGCAAUAGUGUCAACAGUUUCGAUGGAGAGCAAGUGCGGCCCGUGAUCGGACAGUGCAUGGCUAAGUUUGACUAUGAGGCUCAAGAACCGGAGGAAAUAUCGCUAAAAGAAGGGGAUGUCAUCAAUGUCAUCCAGAAAUUCGAUGACGGAUGGUGGUUUGGAGAGAUCGGUGGACAACGGGGCAACUUCCCUGGUUCCUAUGUCGAUUUACUAUGAAGCUAAGUCUUGCUUUGCUCAAGCUCAACAUCAGGCAGGGAACCAGCGAACCAAACAACGUACAAGCAUGGAGAAAGAGGUUUGGAUUAUGUAUGCAGUGUAAGGGCAUUUAUUCAACCAGCAGUACACAGAAAAAUGUACCAGAAUGUACACUCUGCCAAGUAUUCAAUUUAGGAUACAAAAGAAUGAAUAUUCAUGAGUGCAAUGGUAAGAAUAUUGUCAUAGGUUGGAAGAUGGAAUGUUCCAUUCAACUCGCCUGCGGCUUGUUGAAUGGAACAUUUCAUCUUUCAAUUCAUGAAAACAUUCUGACCUUCGCACUCAUGAAAAACAUUCUCUAUUUGUUUUAUAUAACAUCUAAGUAGAUCUUUGUCAUAUCAUUGGAGGGCAACAUUUAUAAAAUAUGUAAAUAUAAAUAAGGUACUUUUCUUCUGUCAUCUGCUUUUUUCCUGGUCCAUUAUAUAGAUUUCUUCAAACUUGGUGUCCAAUUGAAAAGUUAAAGCGAAAAGACAAAAUUUCCUCUUCAUUCAGCAACAGGAAAUUGCUUGAACCCGCCGCCAUUUUAGUGACCAUGGGCAUAACAAGUGCCCUCUGUUGACCAGUUAUGUAUUGAAGUCCUUCGCGUGCAAUAGAUCAAACUGUGCAUGUGACCAAAAAUGCAGAGUGUAUAUAACAAAUUUCAACGUUUAUGACGUUAGCCGUGAAAUAGCCUGUUUAUAAAAUAUCAAAUGACCUACAAUCCUCCAAUCAAAUGACAAGGAUCUAUAAAAAUACAUAUAUAACCACUUCCAAAAGCAUUUAAGACAACAUAUAUGUAAAUUUCAUACACAUAGAAAGUACUCUACUCUGUAAAUACUAUGAGAGAUGCGGUUUAAUGGUUUGGACUUCGGUUUUUGGCUUUUCUUUUUUAAGAGUGCAUUUGAUUAUUACAUCUUUGUUUUCAUUUACAUGUACGUGUAGUUGGCUUUGAAUAUUCAUGUCAUGAAGAUAUUUCAGUGCUGCAGAAGUAAGUAAUAGGAGUUUCAGUGAUGGGGAGAUGCAUAUCAAGUACACAAAACUUCUUUUUUUCCCGACAAAUUAGUGACCAAAUAUCGAAUGCAUAAGCAUUGGACAUGGUCGGAACAUCUACAGAGCAAAAGUGUCCAAUUCUUCCAAAGGAUUCCGACCAUAUUUCACAAAAUUUAGACUUUACAGAGUGACAAUGCUGUCGCUGGUGCAUGUAGUUUUAGUGUAGCUCUACUUGUUUGAUACUGGGAUUGCUAUUUCAACAGUGCUUUGAAAAGAUGUGGUACUUUGACAAGAUAUGGUACUUUCACAAGACAUGGUACUUUGACAAGAUGUGGUACUUUGACAAGAUUUGGUACUUUGAGAAGAUAUGGUACUUUCACAAGACAUGGUACUUUGACAAGAUAUGGUACUUUGACAAGAUGUGGUACUUUGACAAGAUGUGGUACUUUCACAAGACAUGGUACUUUGACAACAUAUGGUACUUUAACAAAAUAUGGUACUUUGAGUAGACUUUUUUCCCGGUCAUGCAGUGCAGUACAACAUCAAAAAUGUAGAUUUUUUCUUCUGACCUAAAGUCAAAGUUUUCUUAGUUUUAUUAAAAAUGCAAGUUUUACUCUUGAAGAAGUAAGGUUUGGUCCAAACUUAAAUUUUGGUAAAAAAUCAGAUAUUUAAGCUAGUUACAGAAUUGUUACCAGUUUUGAUGAAAACAUGGUUUAACUGAGAAACAAAACCUCAGAUUUUGCCAAGGUUUUAUGAAGUGCAAGAGUAACCUUUUGCCGAUUUGAAUUUUCACCCAAAUUUUAUAAAAAUGCAACAGUAACCCUUGCAAUUUUUAAUUUCGGAUCAAAAUCAGAUUCUGCCCAGAUCUAAUCAGAAUGAUAGGCUUACCCCUACAGAUAUGACCUUUUGAUGAAAAUCAGAUUUUUGCCUUUAUUUAAUAAAAUGAAAAGUUAACCCCUUGCAGAGUGAAAUUUCAGACCAAAAUCAGAUUUUGCCCAAAUUUACGAAAAAAAUAAGAGUUACCCCCUGCACUUUUCAAUUUUAGACCAAAAUCAGAUUUUGCCCAAUUUUAAUAAAAAUACAAGAGUAACCCCUUACAGUUGUGAAUUUGUGACCAAAAACAGAUUUUGCCCAAAUGUAAUACAAAAUGCAAGGGUAACCCCUUAUAGAUUGGAAUUUGUGACCAAAAUCAGAUUUUGUCCAAAUUUAAUAAAAAUACAAGAGUAACCCCUUGCAGUUGUGAAUUUGUAACCAAAAUCAGAUUUUGGCCAGAUUAGAUAAAAAGCAAGAAGUUAACCUUGCAUUUUUAUUAAAAUUGGGCAAAAUCUGAUUUUGGCCAGAUUAAAGAAAAAGCAAGGUUAACCCCUUGCAGUUUUUAAUUUGUGACCAAAAUCAGAUUUUGCCCAAUUUUAAUAAAAAUACAAGAGUAACCCCUUGCAGUUGUUAAUUUGUGACCCAAAUCAGAUUGUGCCCAGAUUCAAUACAAAUGCAAGAGUUACCCCCUUACAGAAAUGAAUUUUUGACAAAAACACAUUUUGCCCAAAUGUAAUACAAAAUGCAAGGGUAACCCCUUAUAGAUUGGAAUUUGUGACCAAAAUCAGAUUUUGUCCAAAUUUAAUAAAAAUACAAGAGU